Molecule: ribosomal RNA, 253 nt
Filed under: uncultured bacterium
Lineage: Bacteria
Description: partial 16S ribosomal RNA
Rfam family: Bacterial small subunit ribosomal RNA
Source: RNAcentral
UACGUAGGGUGCAAGCGUUGUCCGGAAUUAUUGGGCGUAAAGAGCUCGUAGGCGGUUUGUCGCGUCGGCUGUGAAAACCCGGGGCUCAACCCCGGGCCUGCAGUCGAUACGGGCAAACUAGAGUGUGGUAGGGGAGACUGGAAUUCCUGGUGUAGCGGUGAAAUGCGCAGAUAUCAGGAAGAACACCCGUGGCGAAAGCGGCUCUCUGGAACGGUACUGACGCUGAGACGCGAAAGCGUGGGGAGCGAACAGG